GCUAUUGGAAGUUUGAUCCUGGCUCAGGACGAACGCUGACGGUGUGCUUUAGGCAUGCAAGUCGAACGAGAAAGCCCUUCGGGGUGAGUAGAGUGGCGAACGGGUGAGUAACACGUGGGCAACCUGCCCCUCGCAGGGGGAUAACCGGAGGAAACUCCGGCUAAUACCCCGUAAGCUUUCAGGGUCGCAUGGCCCUGAAAGGAAAGGUAGCUUCGGCCAUCCGGCGAGGGAUGGGCCCGCGGUGCAUUAGCUAGUUGGUGGGGUAAAGGCCCACCAAGGCGACGAUGCGUAGCUGGUCUGAGAGGAUGAUCAGCCACACUGGGACUGAGACACGGCCCAGACUCCUACGGGAGGCAGCAGCCAGGAAUCUUGGGCAAUGGGCGAAAGCCUGACCCAGCAACACCGUGUGGGCGAUGAAGGCCUUCGGGUCGUAAAGCCCUGUUGAUAGGGACGAAGGGCGAAGGGUUAAUAGCCCCUAGCCUGACGGUACCUUUCGAGGAAGCCCCGGCUAACUACGUGCCAGCAGCCGCGGUAAUACGUAGGGGGCGAGCGUUGUCCGGAAUUAUUGGGCGUAAAGAGCGUGUAGGCGGUUCGGUAAGUCUGCCGUGAAAACCUGAGGCUCAACCUCGGGCGUGCGGUGGAUACUGCCGGGCUAGAGGACGGUAGAGGCGAGUGGAAUUCCCGGUGUAGCGGUGAAAUGCGCAGAUAUCGGGAGGAACACCAGUAGCGAAGGCGGCUCGCUGGGCCGUUCCUGACGCUGAGACGCGAAAGCUAGGGGAGCGAACAGGAUUAGAUACCCUGGUAGUCCUAGCCGUAAACGAUGGACACUAGGUGUGGGGGGAGUCGAAUCCCUCUGUGCCGCAGUUAACGCGUUAAGUGUCCCGCCUGGGGGAGUACGGCCGCAAGGCUAAAACUCAAAAGAAUUGACGGGGGGCCCGCACAAGCAGCGGAAGCAUGUUCUUUUAAUUCGAUGCAACGCGAAAGAACCUUACCUGGGACUUGACAUGGGUGUUGCAAGCGCACCGGAAACGUGGUGACCUUUCGAGGGUGGCACCACAGAAUGCCUGCAUGGGUUGUCCGCCAGCUCCGUGUCCUGGAGAAUGUUGGGGUUAAGUCCCCGCAAACGAAGCGCAACCCCCUGUGGGCGGUGUUGCCAUCCGUUAAAGUUGGGGGGAUUCACCGCCAAAACUGGCCGGUUGACAAACCCGGAAGGAAGAGUGGGGGAGGAAAGGUCAAAGCUACCCGUGGGCUCUUUAACGCCCAAGGGGCUAAAAAACACUGGUUAAAAAUGGGGGUGAUAACCAAAAGGGUGUUGCAAAAACCCCCCAAGGGGGGGGGAGGGAAAUCUUUUCCAAAAAUGUUUUCUUUAAAUUUUCCGGAAAUCAUUGGUCUUGCCAACUCCCACCUCCGUGGGGAAAAGGGGGGGAUUUUUUCUUUAAAAAUACCCGGGGGAAAAC
Molecule: ribosomal RNA, 1457 nt
Filed under: uncultured bacterium
Lineage: Bacteria
Description: bacterial SSU rRNA
Rfam family: Bacterial small subunit ribosomal RNA
Source: RNAcentral